UACGGGGGGGGCAAGCGUUGUUCGGAAUUACUGGGCGUAAAGGGCUCGUAGGCGGCCAACUAAGUCAUACGUGAAAUCCCUCGGCUUAACCGGGGAACUGCGUCUGAUACUGGAUGGCUUGAGUUCGGGAGAGGGAUGCGGAAUUCCAGGUGUAGCGGUGAAAUGCGUAGAUAUCGGGAGGAACACCGGUGGCGAAGGCGGCGAUCUGGGUAGAUACUGACGCUGAGGUGCGAAAGCGUGGGGAGCAAACAGG
Molecule: ribosomal RNA, 253 nt
Filed under: uncultured bacterium
Lineage: Bacteria
Description: partial 16S ribosomal RNA
Rfam family: Bacterial small subunit ribosomal RNA
Source: RNAcentral